Molecule: ribosomal RNA, 496 nt
Filed under: uncultured bacterium
Lineage: Bacteria
Description: bacterial SSU rRNA
Rfam family: Bacterial small subunit ribosomal RNA
Source: RNAcentral
AUGAACGCUAGCGACAGGCCUAACACAUGCAAGUCGAGGGGCAGCACAAGGAGCAAUCUGAGGUGGCGACCGGCGCACGGGUGAGUAACACGUAUGCAACCUGCCUGUAAGCGGGGAAUAACCCGUUGAAAGACGGACUAAUACCGCAUAAUACUAAAUUACUGCAUGGUAAUUUAUUUAAACAUUUAUGGCUUACAGAUGGGCAUGCGCAUGAUUAGCUAGUUGGAGAGGUAACGGCUCCCCAAGGCAACGAUCAUUAGGGGUUCUGAGAGGAAGGUCCCCCACACUGGUACUGAGACACGGACCAGACUCCUACGGGAGGCAGCAGUGAGGAAUAUUGGUCAAUGGACGGAGAGUCUGAACCAGCCAAGUCGCGUGCAGGAAGAAUUGUCCUAUGGAUUGUAAACUGCUUUUGCAGGGGAAUAAAGUGCAUCACGUGUGAUGUUUUGUAUGUACUCUGCGAAUAAGGAUCGGCUAACUCCGUGCCAGCCGCGGC